RNAcentral lists this ribosomal RNA (463 nucleotides) under Lophodermium pini-taiwanensis. Its description in RNAcentral is "eukaryotic LSU rRNA". The stretch from base 131 to 284 matches the Rfam family "5.8S ribosomal RNA". Lineage: Eukaryota; Fungi; Ascomycota; Leotiomycetes; Rhytismatales; Rhytismataceae. The record is from RNAcentral.
AUAUAAAUGGGGAGGGACCUCCGGGCCCCAAUUCUCACCCUCUGUCUACCCAACUUCGUUGCCUCGGCGGAAACGCCAGAGGACCGUAACCCCCCGAAUUCUUGCAGUCUGAGAGCUAUAUAAUAGUUAAAACUUUCAACAACGGAUCUCUUGGUUCUGGCAUCGAUGAAGAACGCAGCGAAAUGCGAUAAGUAAUGUGAAUUGCAGAAUUCAGUGAAUCAUCGAAUCUUUGAACGCACAUUGCGCCCCCCGGCAUUCCGGAGGGCAUGCCUGUUCGAGCGUCAUUACAACCCUCAAGCUCUGCUUGGUGCUGGGCUCGCCUCCCCGGAGGCCUGCCUCAAAAUCAGUGGCGGCCGCCGUCCGACCUUAAGCGCAGUACUACUCGCCGCUUGUAGGAUUCGGGUGGCACGCUUGCCAGCAACCCCCCAUUUUUCAAAGGUUGACCUCGGAUCAGGUAGGGAUA